This 549-nucleotide ribosomal RNA is filed under the name Triticum aestivum (bread wheat). RNAcentral's name for it is "partial small subunit ribosomal RNA". Lineage: Eukaryota; Viridiplantae; Streptophyta; Magnoliopsida; Poales; Poaceae. The record is from RNAcentral.
AUGAAAGAUAGCUCAAACGACCAUACUGACAAGUAUGGUGGCAGCCUUGAGAACCGAUGCCGCUUUGCCGUGGAGGUGAUUGAUGCUAUCAUCCACGAGAUCGGUGUGGAUCGUGUGGGAAUCAGGUUGUCUCCGUUCGUUGACUACACGGAUUGCUUCGACUCUAAUCCACAUGUGCUCAGUACCUACAUGGUACAACAACUCAAUAAGCACAAAGGGUUUCUUUACUGCCACAUGAUAGAGCCUCACAUGACCAUUGUGGAUGGCCGCAUGCAGAUACCCCAUGGGCUAUUGCCCUUUAGGAAAGCAUUUAAUGGCACUUUUAUUGCCGCUGGAGGGUAUGAUCGAGAGGAAGGCAACAAAGUGGUGAUUGAUGGUUAUACUGAUCUCGUUGCCUAUGGGAGGCUAUUUCUGGCUAAUCCGGAUUUGCCUAAGAGAUUCGAGCUAGAUGUCCCCUUGAACAAGUAUGACCGGUCCACCUUCUACACGCAGGAUUCUGUCAUCGGUUACACAGAUUAUCCUUUCUUUAAUGGCUCAAAUGCAGAGUAG